AUGGAGCAACGCCGCGUGAGUGAAGAAGGGUUUCGGCUCGUAAAACUCUGUUGUUAAAGAAGAACAUAUCUGAGAGUAACUGUUCAGGUAUUGACGGUAUUUAACCAGAAAGCCACGGCUAACUACGUGCCAGCAGCCGCGGUAAUACGUAGGUGGCAAGCGUUGUCCGGAUUUAUUGGGCGUAAAGCGAGCGCAGGCGGUUUUUUAAGUCUGAUGUGAAAGCCUUCGGCUCAACCGAAGAAGUGCAUCGGAAACUGGGAAACUUGAGUGCAGAAGAGGACAGUGGAACUCCAUGUGUAGCGGUGAAAUGCGUAGAUAUAUGGAAGAACACCAGUGGCGAAGGCGGCUGUCUGGUCUGUAACUGACGCUGAGGCUCGAAAGUAUGGGUAGCAAACAGGAUUAGAUACCCUGGUAGUCCAUACCGUAAACGAUGAAUGCUAAGUGUUGGAGGGUUUCCGCCCUUCAGUGCUGCAGCUAACGCAUUAAGCAUUCCGCCUGGGGAGUACGGCCGCAAGGCUGAAACUCAAAGGAAUUGACGGGGGCCCG
RNAcentral lists this ribosomal RNA (546 nucleotides) under Lactiplantibacillus plantarum. RNAcentral's name for it is "bacterial SSU rRNA". It matches the Rfam family "Bacterial small subunit ribosomal RNA", at positions 386 to 923 of the family's 1533-position model. The record is from RNAcentral. Lineage: Bacteria; Bacillati; Bacillota; Bacilli; Lactobacillales; Lactobacillaceae.